This 506-nucleotide ribosomal RNA is filed under the name uncultured bacterium. RNAcentral's name for it is "partial 16S ribosomal RNA". It matches the Rfam family "Bacterial small subunit ribosomal RNA", at positions 28 to 523 of the family's 1533-position model. The record is from RNAcentral.
GAUGAACGCUAGCUACAGGCUUAACACAUGCAAGUCGAGGGGUAACGAGAGGAAAGCUUGCUUUCCUUGUCGACGACCGGCGCACGGGUGAGUAACGCGUAUCCAACCUGCCCCCAACUAGGGAAUAACCUUGCGAAAGUAAGACUAAUACCCUAUAAUUUCCUCAGAUGACGUCUGACGAGGAAUAAAGAUUUAUCGGUUGUGGAUGGGGAUGCGUCUGAUUAGCUUGUUGGCGGGGUAACGGCCCACCAAGGCAACGAUCAGUAGGGGUUCUGAGAGGAAGGUCCCCCACAUUGGAACUGAGACACGGUCCAAACUCCUACGGGAGGCAGCAGUGAGGAAUAUUGGUCAAUGGGCGGAAGCCUGAACCAGCCAAGUAGCGUGCAGGAUGACGGCCCUAUGGGUUGUAAACUGCUUUUAUACAGGAAUAAAGUUAGCCACGUGUGGUUAUUUGUAGGUACUGUAUGAAUAAGGACCGACUAAUUCCGUGCCAGCCGCCGCCGUAA